AUUGAACGCUGGCGGCAUGCCUUACACAUGCAAGUCGAACGGUAACAGGUCUUCGGAUGCUGACGAGUGGCGGACGGGUGAGUAAUACAUCGGAACGUGCCUAGUUGUGGGGGAUAACUACUCGAAAGAGUGGCUAAUACCGCAUGAGAUCUACGGAUGAAAGCAGGGGAUCGCAAGACCUUGUGCUACUAGAGCGGCCGAUGGCAGAUUAGGUAGUUGGUGGGAUAAAAGCUUACCAAGCCGACGAUCUGUAGCUGGUCAGAGAGGACGAUCAGCCACACUGGGACUGAGACACGGCCCAGACUCCUACGGGAGGCAGCAGUGGGGAAUUUUGGACAAUGGGCGCAAGCCUGAUCCAGCAAUGCCGCGUGCAGGAUGAAGGCCUUCGGGUUGUAAACUGCUUUUGUACGGAACGAAAAGCCCCGGGUUAAUACCCUGGGGUCAUGACGGUACCGUAAGAAUAAGCACCGGCUAACUACUUGCCAGCAGCCGCCGUAA
RNAcentral lists this ribosomal RNA (498 nucleotides) under uncultured bacterium. RNAcentral's name for it is "partial 16S ribosomal RNA". It matches the Rfam family "Bacterial small subunit ribosomal RNA", at positions 30 to 523 of the family's 1533-position model. The record is from RNAcentral.